UACGUAGGGUGCGAGCGUUAAUCGGAAUUACUGGGCGUAAAGCGUGCGCAGGCGGUUCGUUAAGUCAGCUGUGAAAGCCCCGGGCUUAACCUGGGAAUGGCGGUCGAAACUGGCGAACUUGAAUCUGGCAGAGGGGGGUGGAAUUCCACGUGUAGCAGUGAAAUGCGUAGAGAUGUGGAGGAACACCGAUGGCGAAGGCAGCCCCCUGGGCUGAGAUUGACGCUCAGGCACGAAAGCGUGGGGAGCAAACAGG
Molecule: ribosomal RNA, 253 nt
Filed under: uncultured bacterium
Lineage: Bacteria
Description: partial 16S ribosomal RNA
Rfam family: Bacterial small subunit ribosomal RNA
Source: RNAcentral